GGUAGGGAGUUUGUAGAAGAGAUGAGGAUUAGUGGUGGUGACCUUAUUGCGAGAGUCCGAUACAGAUUUGAGGAACCUAAUAAGGAUAACAAAGUAAAUCAGAAGUGGAGCGGCGAUGUCAAGGACGAGGCUCUUCCCAUAUUGAGGAAAUUACAAGACAGAUUUGACUGUUUCCCUUCUCACUAUAGAUUUCAAAUAUAUAAUGGAAGGGCAGUAGUUGUUAUCAAGACUGAAGCAGCCACACCUCUAUCAACUACAUUGCAAGUGGAAUUGUAUUCCACUAACCUUUUAGAGGACUUCAGAUUACGAGGAGAAAAUGCUGACUUUGGUUUGGAAGGUGAAGAGCUUAGCAGAGCCUUGUCAGGGGUUGUCAACCAAAAUGCACAACAACGAGAUAAGAAAAUCUACAUCUGCCUGUAAUUCGGGAUACCUCAUCUAUCGUUCUUCAAAUGGUUCAAAACUGAUGAUGGCGCCGAGAUGUUGCCCUUACAGAUCCCCAGGCUGCGCAGGAGUACUAUGAGGUUGCGGAUUUGCCUGACCAGUUUGUGUCACUGGACGAGAUCGUUUGGAUGCAUAGUUUAUUGGUGGAAAUAACCGAAGAGGAUGAGUUUGCUGAGGAGUUUGUACGGGUAGCCAUUUAUGACGAUCUCUGUGUGGUUCUUUAUAAUGACAACAACACUAAGACUUUUGAGAUGACAAGAAGAAACAAUGUGGAGCGUCGUGACAUAGAGUCGACUAUACAUAUUGAAUCUUUUAAACGUCUGUAUGAGAGCUUUCCUUUAGACAGAAAGCUGGAUCUUUACUAUGGUGAGUUCCAUAUGAGAUUAAACAACCUUAUAAAUUUCUACUCAAAGUUUAUAAAU
Papaver somniferum (opium poppy) is the source of this 863-nucleotide long non-coding RNA. RefSeq lists it as uncharacterized. The transcript has 3 exons. NCBI's taxonomy places the organism in Eukaryota, Viridiplantae, Streptophyta, Magnoliopsida, Ranunculales, Papaveraceae. The record is from RefSeq and is a predicted model, not a curated record.